RNAcentral lists this non-coding RNA (28 nucleotides) under Cricetulus griseus (Chinese hamster). Lineage: Eukaryota; Metazoa; Chordata; Mammalia; Rodentia; Cricetidae. The record is from RNAcentral.
AAUACCUAGGUUCCUUGGGGGUGUUUGG